CAAUAAUAAAGAUAAAUGGAAAUUAAUUUACAAAACCUAGCAAGAGAAAGAAAGAACCGAACCGACAGAACAAAAACGGAUUUGACAUAAGAUAGAUGUCAUAGACAAUCGGUUUGGAGGGCGUGCCACGCUAUUCUUGCUUGUUCAUCUAUCCUACCGUAGUGGCCUGGCCAGCCGGCUAUAGCCGCGUCGCAUCGGCCUCGCACCUCUCAUCAUAACCGGCAGGCAGCGUGCAUGCAUUGAUAACAGAAAGAAAAAAAACUGAACUCGGCACUGGCAAGGCACUGGCUAUCUGAAUCUGGCUUUUCUCGUGGAGAAGUAGGUACUAUUGUUCCUUGAUCUGGCUACCUGGGUCACAAAUAUACAUAGCCUAAACGUACUAAGUACAAUAUUGUAUAUUAAUUUUGGGUCGGGGUAAAGGU
Molecule: non-coding RNA, 422 nt
Organism: Plutella xylostella (diamondback moth)
Lineage: Eukaryota; Metazoa; Arthropoda; Insecta; Lepidoptera; Plutellidae
Source: RefSeq, a predicted model, not a curated record